Molecule: ribosomal RNA, 338 nt
Filed under: uncultured bacterium
Lineage: Bacteria
Description: bacterial SSU rRNA
Rfam family: Bacterial small subunit ribosomal RNA
Source: RNAcentral
AACGAACGCUGGCGGCAUGCCUAACACAUGCAAGUCGAACGAGACCUUCGGGUCUAGUGGCGCACGGGUGCGUAACGCGUGGGAACCUGCCUUUAGGUUCGGAAUAACUCAGAGAAAUUUGAGCUAAUACCGGAUGAUGUCUUCGGACCAAAGAUUUAUCGCCUUUAGAUGGGCCCGCGUAAGAUUAGCUAGUUGGUGGGGUAAAGCCUACCAAGGCGACGAUCUUUAGCUGGUCUGAGAGGAUGAUCAGCCACACUGGGACUGAGACACGGCCCAGACUCCUACGGGAGGCAGCAGUGGGGAAUAUUGGACAAUGGGCGGCAAAGCCUGAUCCAGCC